Long non-coding RNA from Zingiber officinale, 255 nucleotides. RefSeq lists it as uncharacterized. NCBI's taxonomy places the organism in Eukaryota, Viridiplantae, Streptophyta, Magnoliopsida, Zingiberales, Zingiberaceae. The record is from RefSeq and is a predicted model, not a curated record. The transcript has 3 exons.
AAUACUAACGUGAUGGAACAACAGGAAUGGGGCGCAAUAUGGGGCUCCGUUCGUUGAGGAGGAAUGGGAAGAACAAGAGAUUGCUAAUGGAGUGGUCCUGAUGCCCGAUGCUGAGGAUGAUGAUGAUGCUGUUGACGCUCAUGAUCAGGAAUACUUGGAAUUCAAUGAUCUUCUUCAGGAUCAAAUAGUAAGUUGGAUUUUUUAUGUUCAAUUUCUUUUAUAAACUUAAACCAGUCCUGAGAGAGUUACCUGAAA